This 398-nucleotide long non-coding RNA is filed under the name Bos indicus x Bos taurus (hybrid cattle). RNAcentral describes it as "lncRNA (ENSBIXG00000015875.1)". Lineage: Eukaryota; Metazoa; Chordata; Mammalia; Artiodactyla; Bovidae. The record is from RNAcentral.
UUUCACCAGGAGAUGGGGUUGCGGCCUAUGACACUUCUGAGCUGUCUCUGCUUUGCUCUCAGGAUGUCUUGUCUGCUUUCUGAGAGGAUAUGAAAAUGAUGGACCUGAGCUGGAACAGUUCAUUCUCCAGAGUGCUUGCUCAGAUGUGAAUGGGCAUGACAAUGGACUCUGCUUGUGGAAUCUGACUGUCCAUGAUCCUGAGAAGGUUACUCUGAGCAAGAAACCUGCCUGCCAUGAGGAAUACAUGAGAUAGUGCAGGUAACACAGCUGGUUCACAGUGGGCAUGCUCAUCGACUUCAACUAUUGUUGACAUGAUUAUGACAACAAUAAGACUUACUUGGCUUUAUAUAUAUUUACAUGCAAAUAAACAUCCUGGGAGUAUGUUUUUCUAAGCUAAU